UCUCAAAAUGUAGGAUCAUUUGACCAUGUUUCCAUAGUGUGCAAGUUUUACAUGAGAGGACUGGAAGCAACAUUAUUAUUGUAUGGGUAUAAAUAUCUAAUUUUACAAGGAAUGGCUGUUAGAAUCCACCAAAUGUUAGAAGCAUGGCCUCUUCAUUGACUUCUGCCAUCUCAAACUUUCGCCUUAUCCUGACCACUGGCAUUUCCUUUGGUUGAUGGACUGGAUGUCCUUGAAGUCUAAAGGUAGCCUUACAGAUCUAUCUUCCUAAGGGGAGCACUCACUUGGGACCAAACAAAUUAGAUGCCAGAAGCACAGAUACUAGACUUCAGUCCAGAUGAGUUCGGGGGCUGCAGACCACACAG
This is a long non-coding RNA of Rhinolophus ferrumequinum (greater horseshoe bat), 362 nucleotides long. RefSeq lists it as uncharacterized. The transcript is spliced from 3 exons. NCBI's taxonomy places the organism in Eukaryota, Metazoa, Chordata, Mammalia, Chiroptera, Rhinolophidae. The record is from RefSeq and is a predicted model, not a curated record.